RNAcentral lists this ribosomal RNA (429 nucleotides) under Acidobacteriota bacterium. RNAcentral describes it as "Acidobacteria bacterium partial 16S ribosomal RNA". It matches the Rfam family "Bacterial small subunit ribosomal RNA", at positions 355 to 776 of the family's 1533-position model. The record is from RNAcentral. Lineage: Bacteria; Pseudomonadati; Acidobacteriota.
UGGGGAAUUUUGGACAAUGGGGGAAACCCUGAUCCAGCCAUCCCGCGUGUGCGAUGAAGGCCUUCGGGUUGUAAAGCACUUUUGGCAGGAAAGAAACGUCAUGGGUUAAUACCCCGUGAAACUGACGGUACCUGCAGAAUAAGCACCGGCUAACUACGUGCCAGCAGCCGCGGUAAUACGUAGGGUGCAAGCGUUAAUCGGAAUUACUGGGCGUAAAGCGUGCGCAGGCGGUUCGGAAAGAAAGAUGUGAAAUCCCAGAGCUCAACUUUGGAACUGCAUUUUUAACUACCGGGCUAGAGUGUGUCAGAGGGAGGUGGAAUUCCGCGUGUAGAAGUGAAAUGCGUAGAUAUGCGGAGGAACACCGAUGGAGAAGGCAGCCUCCUGGGAUAACACUGACGCUCAUGCACGAAAGCGUGGGGAGCAAACAGG